GUGGCUAUGGCUCAGUGGCAGAGUGCUUGCCUUGCAUGCAUGAGGCACUGGGUUUGAUCCUCAGCACCAACA
Molecule: non-coding RNA, 72 nt
Organism: Ictidomys tridecemlineatus (thirteen-lined ground squirrel)
Lineage: Eukaryota; Metazoa; Chordata; Mammalia; Rodentia; Sciuridae
Source: Rfam